CGCCUCCUGCAGCAUAAAGUAUAGGAGGUCCAGCCUGCCCAGUGACUACGGGUUCAACGGCCGCGGUAUAUUGACCGUGCAAAGGUAGCGCAAUCACUUGUCUUUUAAAUAGAGACCUGUAUGAAUGGCUAGACGAGGGCUUAACUGUCUCCCCCCUCCAGUCAGUGAAAUUGAUCUAUCCGUGCAGAAGCGGGUAUAGUACUACAAGACGAGAAGACCCUUUGGAGCUUAAGGUACAGAAUUCAGCCACGUUAAGCAACUCCAUAAACAGCAAGAACUUAGUGGUCAUGAAAUUUUACCUUCGGUUGGGGCGACCGCGGAGGAAAAGCAAGCCUCCGAGUGGACUGGGCCGAGACCCUAAAGCCAAGAGAAACAUCUUCAAGCCGCAGAACAUCUGACCAAUAAUGAUCCGGCUAGAAAGCCGAUCAACGGACCAAGUUACCCUAGGGAUAACAGCGCAAUCCUCUCCCAGAGCCCAUAUCGACGAGGGGGUUUACGACCUCGAUGUUGGAUCAGGACAUCCUGGUGGUGCAGCCGCUAUUAAGGGUUCGUUUGUUCAACGAUUAAAGUCCU
Molecule: ribosomal RNA, 573 nt
Filed under: Notropis atherinoides (emerald shiner)
Lineage: Eukaryota; Metazoa; Chordata; Actinopteri; Cypriniformes; Leuciscidae
Description: partial large subunit ribosomal RNA
Rfam family: Bacterial large subunit ribosomal RNA
Source: RNAcentral